This 484-nucleotide ribosomal RNA is filed under the name uncultured bacterium. RNAcentral describes it as "partial 16S ribosomal RNA". It matches the Rfam family "Bacterial small subunit ribosomal RNA", at positions 29 to 507 of the family's 1533-position model. The record is from RNAcentral.
AUUGAACGCUGGCGGCAUGCUUUACACAUGCAAGUCGAACGGCAGCGCGGGCUUCGGCCUGGCGGCGAGUGGCGAACGGGUGAGUAAUGCAUAGGAACGUGCCCAGUAGUGGGGGAUAGCGCGGCGAAAGCCGGAUUAAUACCGCAUACGACCUGAGGGUGAAAGCGGGGGACCGAAAGGCCUCGCGCUAUUGGAGCGGCCGAUGUCGGAUUAGCUAGUUGGUGGGGUAAAGGCUUACCAAGGCGACGAUCCGUAGCUGGUCUGAGAGGACGACCAGCCACACUGGGACUGAGACACGGCCCAGACUCCUACGGGAGGCAGCAGUGGGGAAUUUUGGACAAUGGGGGAAAGCCUGAUCCAGCCAUGCCGCGUGCGUGAAGAAGGCCUUCGGGUUGUAAAGCGCUUUUGUUCGGGAAGAAAUGCUCUGGGCUAAUACCCCGCGGGGAUGACGGUACCGGAAGAAUAAGCACCGGCUAACUACGUG